CCACUUCCACUCUCCAAAGGGAUCGGCACAGCCCCGUCCAAGCUGGAGUCCUCCUGAGCCUGGAAAUCAUCCAUGAUAAAAAAGAGAAGUCCAACAUCCCGCUGGCACUCCUCUUCCUCCCAGUGAGCACGCAGAUACUCCUUCACAUUGUCUUUGAUGUAAGGGAACAAGGUCUCCUGGCAGCACACAAGAAAAACAGGCAGCUCCUUUAACGUGGCAGAGCAGGAGACCCGAGCCUGCCUGUGCACAGCUCCCAUCUCUCUGGGACCACACCGUCAGAUGGCCAGGCUCCUCGGAGACGUCCAGCCCCAGAUGUGGCUGCCCCAACACAGCUUGGCAGGAUGGAGAAACAGCCGUCAGCAAACACAGCUCGACAGCCCUCCUAAGCCUUUGCAACUGCUCACAGCAACGUUAAACCCAGCAUAGAAAGGGUAGUAUUUUUACUGUCAGUAGACACCCACGUAGCACGCUUAGCACUUGUAGGGUCAAUUUUCCUCUCAAUGUCCAUGCAAACUGUCACAAAGUUCAGUGACAAUCUGCUCUUUUACAGGAGAUCUGACAAAU
Haliaeetus leucocephalus (bald eagle) is the source of this 564-nucleotide long non-coding RNA. RefSeq lists it as uncharacterized. The transcript has 3 exons. NCBI's taxonomy places the organism in Eukaryota, Metazoa, Chordata, Aves, Accipitriformes, Accipitridae. The record is from RefSeq and is a predicted model, not a curated record.